Long non-coding RNA from Betta splendens (Siamese fighting fish), 3174 nucleotides. RefSeq lists it as uncharacterized. Lineage: Eukaryota; Metazoa; Chordata; Actinopteri; Anabantiformes; Osphronemidae. The record is from RefSeq and is a predicted model, not a curated record. The transcript has 2 exons.
GUUUCUGCUCUGUAAUUUGGUGCUAAUUACGUGGGAGACGUUCAGAUGUUUGUUUUUUUUAGAUUUUUAAUUCUAGUUAACUGCAGGCUACGAGAAAGAUUCUACAAGAGGCCUAUUAAACUUGCAAAAAUGUUAAUCUUUAAACAAACCGGCGCAGGUAGAAGGGGACCACCGCAGCUCGCGCACAGCUCUGCGUCGGUUGUGUGGACGGAGCGCGCACCUGAUCGUGGCUUAGUGACGUCACUCACACCUGUUCCUGUCCUUCCCUACUGAGCAUGCCGACCGUGGACCUCCAAAGCUGUAAUUGAUAUACAUUUACUCCUUGGAUGAAACAUGAGGUGGCAGAGUUCAUAUUCAUCAUGAAGGCAAAAUAACGGAGUAACCGAGAACCGAGGCUUUUAACUGAAUACACAACGCGCACCCGCGCACACGCAGCGCUCGUGUGAGGCGGUUAGUCACGGAAAUCCGUCCAGGCUGAGAAAACGACACCAAUCAUGACUUGGAGUCGCUCUGCUGCUGGUUUGGGACUGGACGUCGUGUUGUCUUUUGUUCCGUUCUGCAUGUGGAUGCGCAGAUAUAGCGCAAGGAUACAGUGACACCUGUCGUCUCCUGCAGACUCCGUGGGAAUAGGACGACUUUAGGUUGCCACUACGAUUUAUUUCUGAUACAAACUGAAACAACACGACUGAUGGGAAUCAGACAAUCCUGCGGGGCAUACGUGAAUUUAGAAGUCUGCGUGUACUCUGACCGAACUCUCAGGAAAAGAGAAAUACGCGCAGCUACGACCAGCACGUCAUGACCGUAAUCAACCAGCAGGGGGCAGUGUUGCACUGGAGCAGAGACAGUCACCGCUGAAGAAUCAAAGCACUGUGACUUUGUUUUUGCACUCUAAAUUCUAUGCUGUAUGAUGAAGCAGUUAUACUUAUAAUUAUUAUUAUAUAAUGAUUAAAGAAAUGUGAGCAUUAUAAUCAAUGCAAUGUGAAGCUAGGGCACAUUUAAGAAAUUGUGUUGAUGUGCGUGUUUGUUUUAUUAAAGAUUAAAGAUCUAUGCAGGUCGGUGGAGUGAUUUUGCUCAGCUGUAGCUGCCCAGAUGUAAUAAAUGAAGUUGUUUUAUGUUUGUAUGUCAGUGAGGAUUUUCAGUCAACCAGCUGAGGUUGUCAGGAAGCUCAGCCACGCUGCCUGUAUUUUUCUAUGUUUCUCAGAUUCUCAGCUUCUGUAAGUGUAGGUAGUGUAGGUUUUUGACUGACUCUAAUUUUGUGGAAGCAAAAUGCAUGCUGCCCUAGAAACUGUGUAAUCUUUAUCUAGCUUACACAGAUGGGAUGUUUAGUGAAAUAGGUUCACAACACAUAAUAAAGUUGUAAAUACAGUAUUUAUCAGUUUAUUACAGUUAAAAAGAUGUAUUUACAUACAGAACGUCACCAAACAUGGUCAUUUCAUUCAUUUGCAAAGUCGAACUCUGUGGCUUGUUGGUUUCUUACAAUGGGGCGGCAUUGACUGAGUUUGUGGUCUACAACCAAGCCUGCUAAAGAGUGCAUCUUUUCUCUUUUGCCAAAUAAUACUUAAAAAAAUGCUCAAAAGCAAUAAAACUGAAACAAGUUAAGUAAAGCAAAUUAUUGAAUUGCUGGUCAAAAGCCAAGUUCCUGUUACCAGCAUCUGACUUUGCACAGUAUGUACACGGGAAAAAACACCUCAGACUGCUCCUUGGACACCGUCGAUAGCAAUGAAGACUCACAUAGAGGUAGUCAUGUCCACAACUGCUCGUCCAGUCGAGAGACCACUGAGCCAAAACCUUCUAAGCCUGUUCAAUCCGUGGCCUCACAUCCCUUUAGUGACAUUAAAGGAACAAAAAAAAGUGAUUAUCUGUCUGAAAACGGUCAUGAAGGUUCUGCUUGGCGCACAUAAGGCAGUCAAGUAAAUGAGAGAGACGGAGAUUAUAAACAAGCGCGUGAGAAAGAUUCAGGUGCUUCACAUUAAAAGGGCCGUUCCACCAAAACCGGCUCGACUUCACCAGGAUAAGAGGGCAGGAGAAGAGGAACACGCAGUUUAGUAAGAAAACCAAGGGGAAUGUUGAUGACUUGUAUGAAUAUAGCUAUUUUUCUUCCAUAAGUACAGAUGCCUAAUGUGUAUGUGGAGGAAAGUUCAACAAACUGAACAUUCACACCUAAAUGUUCCCAAAAAAAAAAAUAAAAUUAAAAGUUAAAUCACUGUUGUGCUUUAAAACCAGUUUUCGCAGAAAAGAAAACCAUGCAAGUCAGUUUUGGUGGAAAUCCCCUUUAAUGCCAGUAACAAGUGAGACGCAAGCUAAUGUACAUCCACUUGGUAGCAUAGUGGCAUUAUCUUCCAUAGCACUCUUUGUUGUCCUGUAGAACUCUCAUCACGUCACACAUGUUGUAAUACCGAGUCCACCAUAACAUCAGAUUACUGUACAGAGUCAAAGGAAAAAUAAAACGAGACCCAAAUUUACACUGUAACCACCAGUUGCUUGUCAUCAAGUACAGUCAGUGGCCAUAGACACAAGGAAUAGCCAGACACAUAAAAAAGACCAUUAAGGCUGCUUGUCAAUGUAGAUUAAGUAGGAUACGCAUUGCCACACAAUGCUUUGAUACCCUUUGCAAUAUACAAAAAGGGAGCAUUUGCAGAUACACCAAUAGCCACUAAAUUUAACUCCUCUAUGCAAAAACACCCAAUUCUGACCCAGACAAAUCAUGUCAAAUAAGUGUUCAACAUGCUUGUUUGCUGUACAAAUUAACCAGGCAAAGAAAAUAAAAAAAUACAAAUUGUAUGAUCCCAGAAAAGAGGGGGAGGAGGAAAAUGACUCUGCGACACUCUCGUGGCCUAAAAUCACAGACAAUAGAAAAAUAAACACCAAGUUUACUCGGAUUAAUUUGGAUCCACCAGUUUGCAAAUAUAACGCCAUCAUAAGGUUUACCAAACAGCUUCCAGUAGCCGAUCUGCCUCUCCUCCUCCUAAUCCACAGCAAACCAAAACUAUUUCAGGACCUGAUAAAUGCUCUCCAGUCGAUUAGCCCAGUUCAGUCUCUGGCGCCACCUCCCAUCAUUCUCUGCAUCUUCAUACACUCAGCAUUCUUGCAAAAUGGCACAAGAAAAAAAAAAAAGGAAAGGAGACUGAAUGUAAAGAUGGGUCACAGCGCCCUUGCUGCAUACCUAAUGCACAU